GGGAGCAGGGGCUGCAGUGCCCAGGAGCCGCUGGAGCCCCUUGCUUGAGGUCUGUGGAGUCUUCAGCCCAAGGAGCAGAAUUCCUCCUGUUCUGCAAGAGUUGUGAUUGUAUAAACAUGCAGCAGGCUCUGGACAGGCUAUUCAAGAGGAGUGGUUCCACACCAGCAGUGGGAAGCUCUCCAAAUGAUUGCUGGAAGAUAGAAGAUAAUGCUGCACAGAGGCUGUAAAAUGGUGAAAUGGCUCAUCUGAAACAUGUCAGAAGCUGCUGAUGCAGGAUUGGCCCUCAGAGCAUUAAAAUGGAGCCUGGAGGAACCUCUCCCCUUUGCUUGUAGGACCUGCAGUCCAACAGAAUUAUCAAGUAACAGGCUGAACAAAGAAGUUCAUGACACCAUGAAAAUAGGUGCUGCACAUUUUAUACUUGAGCAACACACCUGAAUUCACGUGCCCAGCACAGAGGAACAGUUACUGCUGGACUCAGGAGACAUUUAUCAAAGACAUGACUGCUGAUUUACUACAAAGGGCUGCUGGAUUCCUCUAGGAACUGUCUUUUGACCUGUUGCUAUAAAUUUUGCACUGCAGAAUUGGCAGACUCUAAUAGCUUUUUGUAAGUGAGUUCUGCAAAGAGAAGCCUGACCUCAAAUGACCUAAAUAUUUUAAAGUAAAAAGCUGUGCAGUUGUUUGGGUGAUAGGCUAAAAUGUAGACUUAAAAAGUGUAAUUUCUCAAA
Long non-coding RNA from Passer domesticus (house sparrow), 725 nucleotides. RefSeq lists it as uncharacterized. The transcript has 5 exons. NCBI's taxonomy places the organism in Eukaryota, Metazoa, Chordata, Aves, Passeriformes, Passeridae. The record is from RefSeq and is a predicted model, not a curated record.